This 2355-nucleotide small RNA is filed under the name Pongo abelii (Sumatran orangutan). RNAcentral's name for it is "retained intron". The record is from RNAcentral. Lineage: Eukaryota; Metazoa; Chordata; Mammalia; Primates; Hominidae.
AAUCUAUAUGACAAACCUGUACAUGUACCCCUAAAGUUGAAAUAGAAGUUAAAAACAAAACACAAAAAACAUGACCCUGAGUUCUUUCAGGGCAACAAUCCAGUUUAACUGGUCAAGUUCUAAUGGUAAGUACCACGUCGUUUUCUGCUUGUUUCUUAAUCUAGCCACCUGCUCAGCUUGUGAUGGAGGGUGCACAUUCUCCAAGUAGGGUAAUAGUACCCAUCCUUUAUGAAGCAUGUCUAUGGUCGGGACCUCUAACUGUGUUUAUUUUAUUGGAUCCAUACAGCCCAAUAAGACAGGUCCUACCUCUAAGGAUCAAGAACACGGUGUCAGAGGAAGAGGUAGAAAAAUAUACCAUAGUGAGGAAUCUGUGCCAAGAGGAGUCAUGAGAAGAGGUUUCUGCACCAGCCUAGGAAAGUUGAGAUGAGUGCCCUUAGGUGAUCCUGUGCAAGGGAGGCACUGCCUUGGGAUGUCAGUCAUGGGAAGCCGCCCUAGCCACAGAAAUGUUUUGUCAGAUUUCCGACAGGGCUAUGGCAACCGAGGGCAUAGUCUGUAGGCAAUGGACAUGGCAUUCGACUCAGUAUUCUUGUUUCGUUUAUGAUACAAGGGCAUGUUUUCCAGUAAGUUCUGUUUUGAGAGAGUGAGCGAGAAAGGACAGAUCUCCCGGUUGACUGGCUUUGGAGCAGAUGGGACACAGCAGCUUCUGAAAGCCUCCUGGUUCUCCUGCAAAUAAAUUUCUCAGAUGCAUAUAUUUAGGGAAACAAUUCAUCAAUGAAGAUGACAAAACCAUCUGGCUCUAGAGACUUAAAAAAAUUUUUAGAGGUUGUAAAUGUUUACAUUCUGAUGAAGAGUGUGUGUCUAGGUUUUAUUUCAAGGAUUUGAUGAGUUUGGUUUGUGGCUUGUUUUUAGGGAUUUUUUAACCUGGCCCUGCUAAUCGAGGAAGGUACUGUAAUCCCACACCAUAUCUUGGAUUUCUUGGAAAUUGACUCAACUCUCCAUUCUAAUAACAUCUCCAUUCUCCAGGAACUGUACGAAAGGUGCUGGAGUCACAGUAACGAGGAGUCCUUCAGCCCCUGCUCCUUGGCCUGGCUUUACCUGCACUUGCGGCUUCUCUGGGGUGCUAUCCUGCACUCAGCCCUGAUCUACUUUCUGGGAACCUUUCUGCUAUCCAUAUUGAUCGCCUGGACUGUGCAGUAUUUCCAGUCUGUCUCAGCGAGCGAUCCCCCUUCAAGACCAUCCCAGGCCUCCCCAGACACUGCCACAUCCACUGCAAGUCCAGCUGUGACUCCAGCUGCAGAUGCCUCUGACCAAGACCAGCCCACAGUAACUAAUAACCCGGAGCCACGUGGGUGAACUGUGCACUCCAGUUCUCUCCAGAUGAGAGAGAAUCUUUUCAACAGUUGGUAUCGGGAAGCUGGGGCCAGGGCAUGAUCCUGAUAAACAACUUAAAUGUCUUGUCAACUGGAUGCAAAUUUUGCAAUUGGUGUCAUUUUUUUUUAAAGUCAAAUUACAAGGAAGUACCCAGAUCAGGCAGUGGUAAUACCAAAGGUCAUCAAACACAUACAAGGAACAUCUUGAUCACAGGGCAUGUGGGGAAGUUUACUGGGCCAUCACAGACUUUUGUUCUAGUGAUUGUAUGUAUUAGGAGUCAUAGCUUGCCCUACGGCAGAUCUGGAUUCUUAUACACUAAGAUGUGUCUUAAGAAUCAUAUUGCGUGGUUCAUCCCUUUAUUGAAGAACAGAAAAUUAUUACUACUCUACAAGGUAGAUAAUAUUUUGGUACCUGUGCUUGCCACAGCCCUGUUCCUCAAAGCCAAAUUGAUAGAUUUCUCUUUGACUUCCAAGACCUAACAGUUAUAAGGCACCUUGAAAUAAAUUGUUUAUGCCUGGAAAUGCAGGGAGGGCGAUAGCUUUGUAAAUUGGUUUACAUUUUUCUCCUUGAAUUUUUCUAGGGUCGUAGAGCUUCCGAAUCAUUUAAUGACAUUGUCGGAUAUCUUUUACAUUUCAAUUGCAAUCCACGAAAUUACAUUUAGAAGAUUCUUAGUACUUAACUGUAGUCUUCUCCAUGAAUUACCCGUUAGGAUAGACUGGCAGCAACGGAAUAUGCAGAAAGUAAGCCUUUAGCUUAUAGUUUCAUCCCUACCCCUUAUGCCUGCCUGAGUCUGUACAGGGAUGUGUGUGUGUGUGUGUGUGUGUGUGUGUGUGUGUGUGUUAGAGAGGAAGAGGAAGAGCAGAAUGUCUGUAUACUACAUGCUGCUAAGGUAGUAAAUAAAUCAGUAAUGCAAUAUUGUGGGUCCAAACUACUCUUUGCACUACUUUAUUUACAGUAGUAAAUAAAAUUAUUUUUAUACAAUUG